CUCUCUGGGGAUUGAGGAUUCUGUAACUCUCUUUUACUCCUUUUUUCCCUCUCAGAGUGCCCCUUCUGCUUCUGCUAGUCUUUGCAAUGAGGAACAAAAAAGCAGCAGCGACUGGUCUCCACAGCACCAUUUAUAAGUUCGUUAGAUGUAUCCAGAACGGAAAUGGCUGCACAGUUCUGCUACUUUAAGAGUGACAAGAACUACAAGGGUAGUGGUUUUUAACCCUUGAG
This 230-nucleotide long non-coding RNA is filed under the name Chrysemys picta bellii (western painted turtle). Its description in RNAcentral is "lncRNA (ENSCPBG00000022836.1)". The record is from RNAcentral. Lineage: Eukaryota; Metazoa; Chordata; Testudines; Emydidae.